This 1023-nucleotide long non-coding RNA is filed under the name Monodelphis domestica (gray short-tailed opossum). Its description in RNAcentral is "lncRNA (ENSMODG00000031940.2)". Lineage: Eukaryota; Metazoa; Chordata; Mammalia; Didelphimorphia; Didelphidae. The record is from RNAcentral.
AAAUAACAAUAUUCAGGUGCUGGUAAGUGCUUAACAACCAGCUCUUGGGGGUGAAUGCCACAUUCUUACCUUUAAUUGGCAUUAUUAACAUUUUCUCCGUCACUUUCUUAAGUCUGGACAGUAAGUCAAGCCCUGAUUAGUAUCAUUUGCCAACUUCUGAGGUGUAAGUGUUCACACUGAAAAUAUAAAAAUCAUCUCUUGAGAGCUAUGAAGACCUGGAACCUGCCUGCCCCUGAUGAACCUGGACCAGAAUUAUGAAGGCUAAAGAGACAGAAAUUGGUCGCAACAUGUACUCUUGGUUGCCACACCAAUCCGAGAAAAGAUGACAUGAUUAUAUAGUCCCAACUUCAUCCUGACCUGACCCACCAAGGAGAUUAGAUAGAUGGAAUUUGCCAUGCUUGUUCUCACUCUAAACCCUGUAGAUGUUCCCAGGUUACUAAAUUAAACAAAGCUUUGAGUUGUUUGGACUGCUCCUUUGACUAAUAUUCUUCAGAGUUUCUGUUGACUUUUUCAUCUGUAUUUUACUAAGAUUCUGUCUCCAGCCUCCAAUACUAUAACUAUACCUUGCCUAAAUCAUACAGACUCAGUCUUUACCUCUGCCCUUCUAGAUGAUAUUUUAAUGAUUUGCUGUUGAUCAUCAACAACAUACUAUGGAUGACCUUUGCCUCCACCCCCUUCAGUCCCUGUGUGAGGGUCUGGAUGAAGGAAGAUUGGGGACGAUUAUGAGCAUCAUGGCUUCAAGAAACAGGAAAAAGCAGCAGUGGGGAAAAGAAGCCUAUAAAAAGUUUGGCUUGAGGUCUUUAAGCAAGAACAUGACAAGAGAAUUGAUAGAUGAAAUGGGAAGAAGGGGGCAAAAGUAUGUGAAAUAGAACAGAUUUUUCCAUUCAUUUUAUAAUCUUAGUCAUGGAGAGUGGAAUCCCCAGGUUUGGAUGUGACCACCUCAAUGCAUCAUGCUCUAUAUAGAAAAGGUACUGUAAAAGGUACUUUAAACAAUAAAAUUGGGAUUGAUGUAUUGAGUAUUCA